CUGGCGGCGUGCCUAAUACAUGCAAGUCGAACGCACUCUCGUUUAGAUUGAAGGAGCUUGCUCCUGCUUGAUAAACAUUUGAGUGAGUGGCGGACGGGUGAGUAACACGUGGGUAACCUGCCCUAAAGUGGGGGAUAACAUUUGGAAACAGAUGCUAAUACCGCAUAAAACCUAACACCGCAUGGUGUAGGGUUGAAAGAUGGUUUCGGCUAUCACUUUAGGAUGGACCCGCGGUGCAUUAGUUAGUUGGUGAGGUAAAGGCUCACCAAGACCGUGAUGCAUAGCCGACCUGAGAGGGUAAUCGGCCACACUGGGACUGAGACACGGCCCAGACUCCUACGGGAGGCAGCAGUAGGGAAUCUUCCACAAUGGACGAAAGUCUGAUGGAGCAACGCCGCGUGAGUGAAGAAGGUUUUCGGAUCGUAAAACUCUGUUGUUGGAGAAGAAUGUAUCUGAUAGUAACUGAUCAGGUAGUGACGGUAUCCAACCAGAAAGCCACGGCUAACUACGUG
This 512-nucleotide ribosomal RNA is filed under the name uncultured bacterium. RNAcentral describes it as "bacterial SSU rRNA". It matches the Rfam family "Bacterial small subunit ribosomal RNA", at positions 36 to 507 of the family's 1533-position model. The record is from RNAcentral.